RNAcentral lists this ribosomal RNA (835 nucleotides) under uncultured bacterium. RNAcentral's name for it is "bacterial SSU rRNA". It matches the Rfam family "Bacterial small subunit ribosomal RNA", at positions 546 to 1380 of the family's 1533-position model. The record is from RNAcentral.
GGGGAUUAUUGGGCGUAAAGAGCUUGUAGGUGGCUUGUCGCGUCUGCCGUGAAAACCCGAGGCUCAACCUCGGGCGUGCGGUGGGUACGGGCAGGCUAGAGUGUGGUAGGGGAGACUGGAACUCCUGGUGUAGCGGUGAAAUGCGCAGAUAUCAGGAAGAACACCGAUGGCGAAGGCAGGUCUCUGGGCCAUUACUGACACUGAGAAGCGAAAGCAUGGGUAGCGAACAGGAUUAGAUACCCUGGUAGUCCAUGCCGUAAACGUUGGGCACUAGAUGUGGGGGACAUUCCACGUUUUCCGCGUCGUAGCUAACGCAUUAAGUGCCCCGCCUGGGGAGUACGGCCGCAAGGCUAAAACUCAAAGGAAUUGACGGGGGCCCGCACAAGCGGCGGAGCAUGCUGAUUAAUUCGAUGCAACGCGAAGAACCUUACCAAGGCUUGACAUGCACCGGACGAUCCCAGAGAUGGGGUUUUCUUCGGACUGGUGCACAGGUGGUGCAUGGUUGUCGUCAGCUCGUGUCGUGAGAUGUUGGGUUAAGUCCCGCAACGAGCGCAACCCUUGUUCUAUGUUGCCAGCACGUGAUGGUGGGGACUCAUAGGAGACUGCCGGGGUCAACUCGGAGGAAGGUGGGGAUGACGUCAAAUCAUCAUGCCCUUUAUGUCUUGGGCUUCACGCAUGCUACAAUGGCCGGUACAGAGAGAGGCGAGCCCGUGAGGGUGAGCGAAUCCCUUAAAGCCGGUCUCAGUUCGGAUCGUAGUCUGCAAUUCGACUACGUGAAGUCGGAGUCGCUAGUAAUCGCAGAUCAGCAACGCUGCGGUGAAUACGUUCCCGGGCC